UUUGGAGCUAUUUCUAUUUCUACAAUUAUAGAUGGUCCUGCAGUCAAUCAUUUGGCCACAGGUGAAGAAGCAAAGUGAUGACGGUGACAACAGCGAUGAUGUCUUGGAAGCAGAAACUACGCAGCAUCUUCAGACAAUCUGCACCAGCUCAUGAGAUUUUGGGUUGGCUGGGAGGCUCCAUGCCAGGAACUGAAGCCUGAAGUAGUGCAGUUAACUGGACCAAACCACAUGCCCACUUCAUCCACCUGCAGUGAACGUUUACGCCUUCUAAGCCAUUAUUCUACCUACCAGACUCUGUAUGCUGACAUGACGGUGUGUCUUAAAUUGGUUGGGACUGGCUUUGGUCUUCUUUGAGAACUCAGUGCAUUGGUGUUUCAUUUGUUCAAUAAUUGCAUUUCAAUAUGGCAAUUAAGUAAAAAUACAAAGUCAUUUUAUUAUUAGCUUUUUUUUUU
Molecule: non-coding RNA, 452 nt
Organism: Poecilia reticulata (guppy)
Lineage: Eukaryota; Metazoa; Chordata; Actinopteri; Cyprinodontiformes; Poeciliidae
Source: RefSeq, a predicted model, not a curated record